GCCAGGCGCAGUGACGUAUGCCUGUAAUCCCUGUGACUUGGAGGCUUAGGCAGGAGGACUACCAGUUCAAACCAGCCUGGG
RNAcentral lists this small RNA (81 nucleotides) under Marmota monax (woodchuck). Lineage: Eukaryota; Metazoa; Chordata; Mammalia; Rodentia; Sciuridae. The record is from RNAcentral.